CCUACGGGAGGCAGCAGUGGGGAAUUUUGGACAAUGGGCGCAGGCCUGAUCCAGCAAUGCCGCGUGCAGGAUGAAGGCCUUCGGGUUGUAAACUGCUUUUGUACGGAACGAAACGGUUCGCUUUAAUACAGUGGGCUAAUGACGGUACCGUAAGAAUAAGCACCGGCUAACUACGUGCCAGCAGCCGCGGUAAUACGUAGGGUGCGAGCGUUAAUCGGAAUUACUGGGCGUAAAGCGUGCGCAGGCGGUGAUGUAAGACAGAUGUGAAAUCCCCGGGCUCAACCUGGGACCUGCAUUUGUGACUGCAUCGCUAGAGUACGGUAGAGGGGGAUGGAAUUCCGCGUGUAGCAGUGAAAUGCGUAGAUAUGCGGAGGAACACCGAUGGCGAAGGCAAUCCCCUGGACCUGCACUGACGCUCAUGCACGAGAGCGUGGGGAGCAAACAGGAUUAGAUACCCUGGUAGUCCACGCCCUAAACGAUGUCAACUGGUUGUUGGGUCUUCACUGACUCAGUAACGAAGCUAACGCGUGAAGUUGACCGCCUGGGGAGUACGGGCCGCAAGGUUGAAACUCAAAGGAAUUGACGG
RNAcentral lists this ribosomal RNA (586 nucleotides) under uncultured beta proteobacterium. RNAcentral describes it as "bacterial SSU rRNA". It matches the Rfam family "Bacterial small subunit ribosomal RNA", at positions 338 to 916 of the family's 1533-position model. Lineage: Bacteria; Pseudomonadati; Pseudomonadota; Betaproteobacteria. The record is from RNAcentral.